Molecule: ribosomal RNA, 1350 nt
Filed under: metagenome
Description: bacterial LSU rRNA
Rfam family: Bacterial large subunit ribosomal RNA
Source: RNAcentral
UGAGUGCGAGCGGCUACGGCCGCGAAGUGGGUGAUGUCAAGCUUCCAAGAAAAGCCCUAUACCCGUUAAGGCAUGAUGGCCUGUACCCGAAACCGACACAGGUGGGGUGGUAGAGAAUACCGAGGGGCGCGAGGUAACUCUCUCUAAGGAACUCGGCAAAAUGGCCCCGUAACUUCGGGAGAAGGGGUGCCACCGCAAGGUGGUCGCAGUGAAGAGGCCCAGGCGACUGUUUACCAAAAACACAGGUCUCCGCUAAGUCGCAAGACGAUGUAUGGGGGCUGACGCCUGCCCAGUGCCGGAAGGUUAAGGAAGCUGGUCAGCGCAAGUGAAGCUGGCGACUGAAGCCCCGGUGAACGGCGGCCGUAACAAUAACGGUCCUAAGGUAGCGAAAUUCCUUGUCGGGUAAGUUCCGACCCGCACGAAAGGCGUAACGAUCUGGGCGCUGUCUCGGAGAGAGGCUCGGCGAAAUAGAAUUGUCUGUGAAGAUGCGGACUACGUGCGCCCGGACAGAAAGACCCUAUGAAGCUUUACUGUAGCUUGGUAUCGUGCCCGGGCUCUGAAUGCGCAGGAUAGGUGGGAGGCUUUGAUCCAUGGCUUGCGGGUCAUGGUGAGCCAACGGUGAGAUACCACUCUUUCAGAGCUAGGGUUCUAACGGUCACCCGUCAUCCGGGGACCGGACAGUAUCAGGUGGGCAGUUUGACUGGGGCGGUCGCCUCCUAAAAGGUAACGGAGGCGCGCAAAGGUUUGCUCAGGCUGGUUGGAAAUCAGCUGACGAGUGCAAAAGCAGAAGCAAGCUUGACUGUGAGACCUACAAGUCGAACAGGGACGAAAGUCGGCUUUAGUGAUCCGACGGUUCUGAGUGGAAGGGCCGUCGCUCAACGGAUAAAAGUUACUCUAAGGAUAACAGGCUGAUCUCCCCCAAGAGUUCACAUCGACGGGGAGGUUUGGCACCUCGAUGUCGGCUCAUCGCAACCUGGGGCUGAAGUCGGUCCCAAGGGUUGGGCUGUUCGCCCAUUAAAGCGGUACGCGAGCUGGGUUCAGAACGUCGUGAGACAGUUCGGUCCAUAUCCGGUGCACGCGCAGGAACAUUGAGAGGAUUUCUCCCUAGUACGAGAGGACCGGGAGGAACGCACCUCUGGUGUGCCAGUUAUCGUGCCAACGGUAAACGCUGGGUAGCCAUGUGCGGAGUGGAUAACCGCUGAAAGCAUCUAAGUGGGAAGCCCACCUCAAGAUGAGUGUUCCCAUGGCAUAAGCCAGUAAGGUCACGGGAAGAACACCCGUUGAUAGGCUCUACGUGGAAGCCGGGUAACCGGUGAAGCGGAGGAGUACUAAUAGACCGAGGGCUUGAAC